AUUGAACGCUGGCGGCAGGCCUAACACAUGCAAGUCGAACGAGUGGCGGACGGGUGAGAAAGUUCGGGGAACCUGCCGAAUGGAGGGGGAUAAUAAUUGGAACCGGUAGCUAAUACCCAAUACAAUCGAUUGUCCCCAGAUGGGAUUGGCUAGAAGGUGGGGUAAAGGCUCACCUAGGCGACGAUCCCAAGCUGGUCUGAGAGGAUGACCAGCCACACUGGAACUGAGACACGGUCCAGACUCCUACGGGAGGCAGCAGUGGGGAAUAUUGCACAAUGGGCGCAAGCCUGAUGCAGCCAUGCCGCGUGUAUGAAGAAGGCCUUCGGGUUGUAAAGUACUUUCAGCGGGGAGGCGUUACCCGCAGAAGAAGCACCGGCUAACUCCGUGCCAGCAGCCGCGGUAAUAC
RNAcentral lists this ribosomal RNA (406 nucleotides) under uncultured bacterium. RNAcentral describes it as "partial 16S ribosomal RNA". It matches the Rfam family "Bacterial small subunit ribosomal RNA", at positions 30 to 526 of the family's 1533-position model. The record is from RNAcentral.